This 338-nucleotide unclassified non-coding RNA is filed under the name soil metagenome. Its description in RNAcentral is "partial contains 5.8S ribosomal RNA, internal transcribed spacer 2, and large subunit ribosomal RNA". The stretch from base 1 to 121 matches the Rfam family "5.8S ribosomal RNA", at positions 35 to 154 of the family's 154-position model. The record is from RNAcentral.
GAUGAAGAACGUAGCGAAAUGCGAUAAGUAAUGCGAAUUGCAGAAUUUCCGUGAAUCAUCGAAUCUUUGAACGCACAUUGCGCCCCUUGGUAUUCCAUGGGGCAUGCCUGUUCGAGCGUCAUUUGUACCUUCAAGCUCUGCUUGGUGUUGGGUGUUUGUCUCGCCUCUGCGUGUAGACUCGCCUCAAAACAAUUGGCAGCCGGCGUAUUGAUUUCGGAGCGCAGUACAUCUCGCGCUUUGCACUCAUAACGACGACGUCCAAAAGUACAUUUUUACACUCUUGACCUCGGAUCAGGUAGGGAUACCCGCUGAACUUAAGCAUAUCAAUAAGCGGAGGA